GUUGUCGUGCGGUGACGUCAAGCCCUGAUCAGACUCUAUGCAAAGCGCCCCACGAUGCGCGUGCUGCUGAGAGCACAAGGAGGAGAGAGGAGGACGGACACUUAGCAGCCUGGCUAAUGUAGCCUGUGGGGUCGCAAAAUAUUUGUAAAUACAUUUAUUUGGAAAUGAACAACACUUCAGAUCUGGAAAUCGGACUGGGUUGCCUAAGGCGUUCAACGUGAGAUGCUUUUGGGAGUCUUGUUUCGCCACGUGUCACAGACCCACAUGUCCUCGUGGAAUUCAUCUAUGCGUUCUUACAGCUGAUAUUGCUGCUGUGUUGGCCAGCGACCACCUCUCUGCAUUAAGUCAAACUGUUAUCAGCCCUCCCGGACAUGUAAAGUGGAGCCGAGAGGAUAAAGUCAUCCUGCCAGUGAACAACAACCUGAAAUUGGGUCAGGUAGUUUUGCCAAGCAGCUGGAACAGCAACCAACAGGCACAUUGUUAGGCAUAUCUUCAUUACUUUAUGUUUCAAACACUAUUUUUGGCAGUUUUUUAUUAGUAGGGAUGCACAAUAUAUCAGUACCAUAUUGGAUAGAGAUUUUUAAAAUUUUCACAUUGGUUGAUAUUGGAUAUUGAAUUGUGCAUGGUUUAAUAUUUUUUUUGUUUUAAAUUUCAUUAAACUGUCUGCAUACUUUUUUUUUUAUGUUGUUAAACGAAGUCUCUUAUGCUC
This 709-nucleotide long non-coding RNA is filed under the name Sinocyclocheilus anshuiensis. Its description in RNAcentral is "lncRNA (ENSSANG00000023828.1)". Lineage: Eukaryota; Metazoa; Chordata; Actinopteri; Cypriniformes; Cyprinidae. The record is from RNAcentral.